RNAcentral lists this ribosomal RNA (154 nucleotides) under uncultured Pyronemataceae. RNAcentral's name for it is "5.8S ribosomal RNA". It matches the Rfam family "5.8S ribosomal RNA". Rfam says of the family: 5.8S ribosomal RNA (5.8S rRNA) is a component of the large subunit of the eukaryotic ribosome. It is transcribed by RNA polymerase I as part of the 45S precursor that also contains 18S and 28S rRNA. The record is from RNAcentral. Lineage: Eukaryota; Fungi; Ascomycota; Pezizomycetes; Pezizales; Pyronemataceae.
AACUUUCAACAACGGAUCUCUUGGUUCUCGCAUCGAUGAAGAACGCAGCGAAAUGCGAUAAGUAGUGUGAAUUGCAGAAUUCCGUGAAUCAUCGAAUCUUUGAACGCAUAUUGCGCCUCCUGGCAUUCCGGGAGGCAUGCCUGUUCGAGCGUCA